Molecule: ribosomal RNA, 502 nt
Filed under: uncultured bacterium
Lineage: Bacteria
Description: partial 16S ribosomal RNA
Rfam family: Bacterial small subunit ribosomal RNA
Source: RNAcentral
GAUUAACGCUGGCGGCGUGCCUAACACAUGCAAGUCGAGCGGCAGCGAGUUUUACACUGAAUUCUGGAAGCUUCUAGUUGAAAGAGAAGAUUUAUUCAAGAAUUUUGUGUAAAAUGUCGGCGAGCGGCGGACGGCUGAGUAACGCGUGGGAACGUACCCCAAAGUGAGGGAUAACGCAUCGAAAGGUGUGCUAAUACCGCAUAUGGUCUUCGGAUUAAAGCCUUCGGGCGCUUUGGGAACGGCCUGCGUAAGAUUAGAUAGUUGGUGGGGUAAUGGCCUACCAAGUCGACGAUCUUUAACUGGGUGGAGAGGAUGAUCAGUCAGACUGGAACUGAGACACGGUCCAGACUCCUACGGGAGGCAGCAGUGAGGAAUCUUCCACAAUGGGCGAAAGCCUGAUGGAGCAACGCCGCGUGCAGGAUGAAGGCCUUCGGGUUGUAAACUGCUUUUAUAAGUGAGGAUUAUGACAGUAACUUAUGAAUAAGGAUCGGCUAACUACGUG